UGAGGGAUAUUGCACAAUGGGGGAAACCCUGAUGCAGCAACGCCGCGUGAAGGAAGAAGUAUUUCGGUAUGUAAACUUCUAUCGAUGGGGACGAAAUAAAUGACGGUACCCAAGUAAGAAGCCCCGGCUAAAUACGUGCCAGCAGCCGCGGUAAUACGUAUGGGGCAAGCGUUAUCCGGAUUUACUGGGUGUAAAGGGUGAGUAGGCGGCUUAUUAAGUCAUAUGUGAAAUUUCGGGGCUCAACCCCGGAACUGCAUAAGAAACUGGUAAGCUAGAGUGCAGGAGAGGUAAGCGGAAUUCCCAGUGUAGCGGUGAAAUGCGUAGAUAUUGGGAGGAACACCGGUGGCGAAGGCGGCUUACUGGACUGAAACUGACGCUGAGUCACGAAAGCGUGGGGAGC
This 400-nucleotide ribosomal RNA is filed under the name uncultured bacterium. RNAcentral describes it as "bacterial SSU rRNA". It matches the Rfam family "Bacterial small subunit ribosomal RNA", at positions 355 to 769 of the family's 1533-position model. The record is from RNAcentral.